UUUUCACAGCCCUACUAUUUACCACAGUCCUUUGAUUUAGAAAUGUCAUUUUUUCCUAAAGGAAAGCUGAGGUUCUUACCUCAUUGUUAACUCAUUCUUACCUUGUUGUAGAAACUAUUACUUUUUAAAAUUAAACACCACCUAUUAUAAAAUGAGGUUACUUCAUUUGAGCUCAUAACACUGUGAUCCUUUUUCAAAUAUAUGUAUGUGAAUCCUCAUCUGUAUGAGAAUCAGCACCUUUAGUGGAGCAUUGAACAUUUACUUUCAAAACCAGAGGAGUCUGGUGCACAGCAAAGAGAAGAUCCUGGUUCUGACUGAAGUAGCUGAAUUCUGUACCAGUCACUAGCUUCACAUGCAGCCCUAGCUUCCAGUCUACAUGAAUACCUAGAAGGGGUAGAUGGCAGGAGAGCAGUGAUUUUGAAGAUGUCAGUGUACCAAAAUAUUUUUCUUAGAUAACCGCAUACCUCUGAGGAUUUGGGCUCUGGUGACUACAGAUGGAAGCUUCAGGGAUCACCGAAGAAAUCAAUAAAUCAACCAAGCAACUGAAGUUUCUAUCUAAUAAGGGCCAAGCAUUACACAGUCAAAGUUACUGGUGUCAAAAGGACGGCAGGGAUGUCAAUGACAGUAUUCUCUGAAGACACUGGGAACACUAGCAGUUUGCCUCCUUGGCUGAAAUGGUAAGGCUGCCUGUUAAAAAAUAUUUUUCUACUCAUCAGCUGGUCAUGUUUGAUAUGGAGUCAUUGAGACAUAAUAAGUA
This 757-nucleotide long non-coding RNA is filed under the name Crocodylus porosus (Australian saltwater crocodile). RNAcentral's name for it is "lncRNA (ENSCPRG00005003067.1)". The record is from RNAcentral. Lineage: Eukaryota; Metazoa; Chordata; Crocodylia; Crocodylidae.